Molecule: ribosomal RNA, 253 nt
Filed under: uncultured bacterium
Lineage: Bacteria
Description: partial 16S ribosomal RNA
Rfam family: Bacterial small subunit ribosomal RNA
Source: RNAcentral
UACGUAGGGCGCAAGCGUUGUCCGGAAUUAUUGGGCGUAAAGAGCUCGUAGGCGGUCUGUCGCGUCGGAUGUGAAAGCCCGGGGCUUAACCCCGGGUCUGCAUUCGAUACGGGCAGACUAGAGUGUGGUAGGGGAGAUCGGAAUUCCUGGUGUAGCGGUGAAAUGCGUAGAUAUCGGGAGGAACACCAGUGGCGAAGGCGACUACCUGGCCUGUUCUUGACGCUGAGGCGCGAAAGCUAGGGGAGCAAACGGG